CGACUCAACCCCCCUGGUUUAUGACCGGGUGUUGGACUUGGACAUGGGCGCUGCCGGUCAUUCGGCUCGCCUCAAAUGACUUAGUGGGAUCGCUAGCAUCUGUGACAGACGUAAUAAGUUUCGUCUUGUCCCUUGCGCGCGUCAAGCCUGCUCAGAACACUGCUUGCCUCUGUGCAACACUUUUUGA
RNAcentral lists this unclassified non-coding RNA (187 nucleotides) under Papiliotrema nemorosa. RNAcentral's name for it is "Papiliotrema nemorosus sequence contains ITS2". The record is from RNAcentral. Lineage: Eukaryota; Fungi; Basidiomycota; Tremellomycetes; Tremellales; Rhynchogastremaceae.